AAAUUGAAGAGUUUGAUCAUGGCUCAGAUUGAACGCUGGCGGCAGGCCUAACACAUGCAAGUCGAGCGGUAGCACAGAGAGCUUGCUCUCGGGUGACGAGCGGCGGACGGGUGAGUAAUGUCUGGGAAACUGCCUGAUGGAGGGGGAUAACUACUGGAAACGGUAGCUAAUACCGCAUAACGUCGCAAGACCAAAGUGGGGGACCUUCGGGCCUCAUGCCAUCAGAUGUGCCCAGAUGGGAUUAGCUAGUAGGUGGGGUAACGGCUCACCUAGGCGACGAUCCCUAGCUGGUCUGAGAGGAUGACCAGCCACACUGGAACUGAGACACGGUCCAGACUCCUACGGGAGGCAGCAGUGGGGAAUAUUGCACAAUGGGCGCAAGCCUGAUGCAGCCAUGCCGCGUGUGUGAAGAAGGCCUUCGGGUUGUAAAGCACUUUCAGCGGGGAGGAAGGCGGUGAGGUUAAUAACCUCAUCGAUUGACGUUACCCGCAGAAGAAGCACCGGCUAACUCCGUGCCAGCAGCCGCGGUAAUACGGAGGGUGCAAGCGUUAAUCGGAAUUACUGGGCGUAAAGCGCACGCAGGCGGUCUGUCAAGUCGGAUGUGAAAUCCCCGGGCUCAACCUGGGAACUGCAUUCGAAACUGGCAGGCUAGAGUCUUGUAGAGGGGGGGUAGAAUUCCAGGUGUAGCGGUGAAAUGCGUAGAGAUCUGGAGGAAUACCGGUGGCGAAGGCGGCCCCCUGGACAAAGACUGACGCUCAGGUGCGAAAGCGUGGGGAGCAAACAGGAUUAGAUACCCUGGUAGUCCACGCCGUAAACGAUGUCGAUUUGGAGGUUGUGCCCUUGAGGCGUGGCUUCCGGAGCUAACGCGUUAAAUCGACCGCCUGGGGAGUACGGCCGCAAGGUUAAAACUCAAAUGAAUUGACGGGGGCCCGCACAAGCGGUGGAGCAUGUGGUUUAAUUCGAUGCAACGCGAAGAACCUUACCUGGUCUUGACAUCCACAGAACUUUCCAGAGAUGGAUUGGUGCCUUCGGGAACUGUGAGACAGGUGCUGCAUGGCUGUCGUCAGCUCGUGUUGUGAAAUGUUGGGUUAAGUCCCGCAACGAGCGCAACCCUUAUCCUUUGUUGCCAGCGGUUAGGCCGGGAACUCAAAGGAGACUGCCAGUGAUAAACUGGAGGAAGGUGGGGAUGACGUCAAGUCAUCAUGGCCCUUACGACCAGGGCUACACACGUGCUACAAUGGCAUAUACAAAGAGAAGCGACCUCGCGAGAGCAAGCGGACCUCAUAAAGUAUGUCGUAGUCCGGAUUGGAGUCUGCAACUCGACUCCAUGAAGUCGGAAUCGCUAGUAAUCGUAGAUCAGAAUGCUACGGUGAAUACGUUCCCGGGCCUUGUACACACCGCCCGUCACACCAUGGGAGUGGGUUGCAAAAGAAGUAGGUAGCUUAACCUUCGGGAGGGCGCUUACCACUUUGUGAUUCAUGACUGGGGUGAAGUCGUAACAAGGUAACCGUAGGGGAACCUGCGGUUGGAUCACCUCCUUA
Molecule: ribosomal RNA, 1541 nt
Filed under: Klebsiella pneumoniae
Lineage: Bacteria; Pseudomonadati; Pseudomonadota; Gammaproteobacteria; Enterobacterales; Enterobacteriaceae
Description: bacterial SSU rRNA
Rfam family: Bacterial small subunit ribosomal RNA
Source: RNAcentral